GGGUAGAGAAGAGAUUUGGGUUAGAUUCUAUUGGCGAUAGCUCGAUAGUCAGGAGAGAUAGAACGGUGGGAAUAGUGUGGGUAGUUAGGGUAUUUAUCUGACUAUCUUGUGUCAAAAUUUCAAAGCUCUGACUAUUUUGGAAGUGUGAGAAAAAAGGACAAAUGUGAAAAGAUGUCAGAUCAGUUUGGCGAAAAAUUGAGUUGUGUCCAAUAGUAAUUCCUUGAGAAAAGUGGCGAUGGUAGGAUAGUCAGGAGAGAUAGAACGGUGGGAAUAGUGUUGGUAGUUAGGGUAUUUAUCUGACUAUCUUGUGUCAAAAUUUCAAAGCUCUGACUAUUUUAGAAGUGUGAGAAAAAAGGACAAAUGUGAAAAGAUGUCAGAUCAAUUUGGCGAAAAAUAAUUCCUGGAGAAAAGAAGCGAUGGUAGAAUAGUCAUGAGGGACAGAGAGGUGGGGAUAGUGUGGGUAGUUAGACUAUUUAUUUGACUAUCCUCUGUCAAAAUUUCGUCAUCCUAAUGUAUCGGGAAGUAUACGAAAAAAGCAAUAAUGUGAAAAGAUGUCAGAUCAAUUUGGCGAAAAAUAAUUCCUGGAGAAAAGAAGCGAUGGUAGGAUAGUCAUGAGGGACAGAGAGGUGGGGAUAGUGUGGGUAGUUAGACUAUUUAUUUGACUAUCUUCUGUCAAAAUUUCGUCAUCCUAAUGUAUCGGGAAGCAUACGAAAAAAGCAAUAAUGUCAGAUCAAUUUGGCGAAAAAUAAUUCCUGGAGAAAAGAAGCGAUGGUUGGAUAGUCACGAGGGACAGAGAGGUGGGGAUAGUGUGGGUAGUUAGACUAUUUAUUUGACUAUCUUCUGUCAAAAUUUCGUCAUCCUAAUGUAUCGGGAAGUAUACGAAAAAAGCAAUAAUGUGAAAAGAUGUCAGAUCAAUUUGGCGAAAAAUAAUUCCUGGAGAAAAGAAGCGAUGGUUGGAUAGUCAUGAGGGACAGAGAGGUGGGGAUAGUGUGGGUAGUUAGACUAUUUAUUUGACUAUCUUCUGUCAAAAUUUCGUCAUCCUAAUGUAUCGGGAAGUAUACGAAAAAAGCAAUAAUGUCAAAAGAUGUCAGAUCAAUUUGGCGAAAAAUAAUUCCUGGAGAAAAGAAGCGAUGGUAGGAUAGUCAUGAGGGACAGAGAGGUGGGAAUAGUGUGAGUAGUUAGAGUAUUUAUUUGACUAUCUUCUGUCAAAAUUUCGUCAUCCUAAUGUAUCAGGAAGUAUACGAAAAAAGCAAUAAUGUCAAAAGAUGUCAGAUCAAUUUGGCGAAAAAUAAUUCCUGGAGAAAAGAAGCGAUGGUAGAAUAGUCAUGAGGGACAGAGAGGUGGGGAUAGUGUGGGUAGUUAGACUAUUUAUUUGACUAUCUUCUGUCAAAAUUUCGUCAUCCUAAUGUAUCGGGAAGUAUACGAAAAAAGCAAUAAUGUCAAAAGAAACGAUCCUCGCUGCCACCACCGGGUUAAGGAGUAAUUGUGUGAGGGGUUAUUCCUGCCCACACUCAGAAUACUACACUUCCCGACACUGAAUUCCAUCUGGCAACACUCAUGGUAGCCCUUAAUAGCCCUCGUGGCCUUGGGUGAUGUGCGUGACGCCGCCUGCAAUGUUUUGGGUGUAAGGACCCGGCGCAGGGAAGGCUUGGGAGGUGACGGAGAGGGUCCCCUUAAUGCCGGGUGCUAUUGUGGAGACCUGCCCAGACUACUACGACUACUACUACUACUACUACUACUACUACUACUACUACUACUACUACUACUGCUACUACUACUACUAC
Long non-coding RNA from Eriocheir sinensis (Chinese mitten crab), 1784 nucleotides. RefSeq lists it as uncharacterized. The record is from RefSeq and is a predicted model, not a curated record. Lineage: Eukaryota; Metazoa; Arthropoda; Malacostraca; Decapoda; Varunidae. The transcript is spliced from 3 exons.